UCUUCCCUUUCUCGGUCAGCAUCAGAGAGAGACAAGGAGUUCUUUGAUUUUCUUUCCUUCUCCAUCUUCUUCCGUCUUCGGCGUCAUCAAGUGAGAGUGUGCCAAAGCUUCAUCCGUCACUGCUUGUCAGAUCAUCAACGUCUUUCUCCUUCCUCUGUGCGAGUGAUGAUGUGAAUGUUCAAGUCUCUCUUCCCUUUCAUUUUCCUUACCGUUCGUCGCUGCUGAAGACCAUGGAAGCUCUGUCGAAGCUCUUCCUCUGUUAGCAUUUAAGACUCUUCUUCCUUCUCGCCGUCCGCUGCUGGUGACUGGAGAAAAACACUGAAACCCCUUCCUUUGACAGUGCUGUGGCGCGCGUUCUCAUUGGGCUUCUUCCUCCCCUGUUUUUUUUUACUGUGAACUCCUCUCCUCUCCUCCCUCUGUUUGAGCAGCUGUGACAGGUUGAGCUCCAGUGGGAAAUGGUACAAGCAGCAUAUGGAAAGAGGGAAAAAGAAGCACAAGUGACUAUAAUUUUAUUGAAUAUGAAGUAAAGCAACAGACUAUCUAGAAUUUGUAUGUCAUUGAACUAAAAAGUCAUAAUGGUGAGCAAGACAAAGGAAAAGAGUCAAGAUUGACAUAGUGUGCUAUUGCUAUGAAAUAUCUAAGUUUUGUAUAAUGAAUACUAUGCUUGUGUAUAUUAUGUAUAUAAGUUGGCAUAGGAUAUGCAUGCAUGUUUAAAGUUGUGAUUGUUGAGAAUUGUUAUGAAUUUUGAUAAAUCUUAGCCUAUUUAUGUGUAUAUGUGGUGAAAUGAGAAACGGAGGCUAAGAUUUAGUUGUGAACUUAUGGUGAAUAUGUUGUGAAUGAGAAGACAUGAGAAUUGUAGUAAAAUUGCAAAAAUAUGACAAACUAAUGUGUUUGGUGUA
This is a long non-coding RNA of Prosopis cineraria, 899 nucleotides long. RefSeq lists it as uncharacterized. The record is from RefSeq and is a predicted model, not a curated record. NCBI's taxonomy places the organism in Eukaryota, Viridiplantae, Streptophyta, Magnoliopsida, Fabales, Fabaceae. The transcript is spliced from 3 exons.